UUAUGCUUAGAUGUUCCAACUAGAUGGAAUUCCACCUACUUGAUGCAGGGUUGUUGAAUUUGAAAGUGCAUUUUCACAUUAUGCUUCUAGUGAAAUUGGCUUGAGAUAUUAUCUUGAGCAUUCUUAUAUUGAUGUUGGAAUUCCUAUAGGUGAAAUUUUGAGUAGUGAUUGGGAGAAUGUAAAAAGAAUUACAAAGUUUCUUGAAAUCUUCUAUCUUCUUACUUUGAAGAUAUCUGGACCACGUUAUGUUACAUCGAAUAUUUAUUUUCUUAAAAUUUGCGCAGUUGCUGUCUAUUUGAAGCAAUUCAUAGCAAAUGAAGAUAUAGUUUUAAGUGAAAUGGCAAAGAAUAUGAAAGAAAAGUUUGAUAAGUAUUGGGGUAAUCCAGGGAAAAUGAACAAGAUAAUUUUUAUCUCAUAAAUUUUGGAUCCACGUUACAAGAUCGAAUCAGUUGGCUUUGCACUUGUAAAGUUGUUUGGUAUAGAUCCGGGGGCAACUAUACAAGCAGAAGUGAUGAAGUACGUGACUUCAUUAUUCAGUGAGUAUGUAAAGUCCAGCUCAAAAGGUGUUGUGCUUACUUCAUCUUCAGAUUGUUCUUCAUUGGACACUUCGACUUCCGGGCUUUCUGGCAGUCAAGCAAGCACAAAAAAUAUAGGACUUUUAGAAUCACUCAUGCAAGAUAUAAAAAAAUAUAAAAAUGGGAGUGGAUACUAGAACAUAGUUAGAUAAAUAUUUAGGUGAAGAAACUGAGAAUGACACUAAAGAAUUUAAUGUUCUUCUUUGGUGGAAAUUGAACUCAGCUAGAUUUCCUAUUCUUGAGGAGAUGGCUCGUGAUGUAUUAGCUGUUCCGGUUUCAAGUGUGGCAUCCGAAUGUGCGUUUAGUACGGGAGGACGUCUUCUUGAUUCAUUUAGGAGUUCAUUAACUCCUAAAUUGGUGCAAGCUCUAGUGUGUCUUCAAGAUUGGCUUCGAAACGAAAAAUUAAAACAACCCAUUAGUAUUGAGGAAGAUCUUGAUAAAAUCGAGCAGCUUGAACAAGAUUUAGCCAGCAAUGGAAAGGACUCUUCCGUAAUUGACGUGUAGUGUUAAUAUAUUUGGUCGAGUGUGGCCUCUGUUUGAACUCGAGCGUGAAGAAAUUGCUCAGGAACCAACUUUAUCUGUUGUGUAACUGUGUGCCAAGGCAUCAUCCACUAUCUUGAUCUGACUUUAUCUGCUGUGUAACUUGUAAAGCUGUUUGCAGCUCUGCUGAAUUAUUAUUAUUAUUAGUACAGUCCUGAAGAUCUUUAGCAUGCAAGCUCUGCGGACUUUAUCUGUUGCGAUGGUGUUUAACUGUUGUGUAACUUGUAAAGUUGUUUGCAGCUCUGCCGACUUAUUAUUAUUAGUACAGUCCUGAAGAUAUUUAGCAUGCAGCUCUGCUGACUUUAUCUAC
This is a non-coding RNA of Nicotiana tabacum (common tobacco), 1425 nucleotides long. The record is from RefSeq and is a predicted model, not a curated record. Lineage: Eukaryota; Viridiplantae; Streptophyta; Magnoliopsida; Solanales; Solanaceae.